This 1131-nucleotide long non-coding RNA is filed under the name Homo sapiens (human). Its description in RNAcentral is "HSALNT0094080". Lineage: Eukaryota; Metazoa; Chordata; Mammalia; Primates; Hominidae. The record is from RNAcentral.
AUGAAAAUCAGCCCAUUGAUUUGCCAUUAUGAGUAGAAACUCACCCUUAUGGGCAGAAAAAAAGACUUCACAUAGCAGCCAGUGUACAUACAACAGCCCUGGGUUCCUGCCCAGUUAAAAAUGAACAUCCAACUGUGGGCUGCAGAGAUAAGAAAAGGAAGUGAAGAAGUGUCUUAGGAACGGUGGCAUGAAGGGGGAUGAACAGUUAUGCAGAACGAAGGACUGAGAGGGUUUAUUGACAACUGGAAGUCUGAGGUGUUAAAAGUAAUUCCAACCAAUGUUAGCGUUUAGAUGCUGACAAAUAAAAUUUAUAAAUGACUUUUUAAACUGCUUCCUCGAGCAACAAGAGCUGUUAUUGUCACAUCGAUUUUGAAAUUAAAUGUUAUGGAAUUUCCUUGCUUUAAUGAGAAGGCAGAUCCAACUGGUAAACAAAGUAAUGAUUAAGCAAUUAAAAGAGUAAAACUGAGAAAUAAAGUAACACUAAUCUUAAUCCUUAACCCAAAUAGGCAGGUUUUGCUGAUUUGCUUAAAAAAAAGAUGCAUGUUUAUCUUGAGGUGAAAGUAUUGAGAAGAGAUGCUCACUAGGAAUAAACUGCCCUCUGAUAAGAGGGGAAAAGUCAAUUAGUAAUGUCAUUUGUUUAAAACUCUGCCCGCACCUGGUUCUCAUUUGUCCUCCAGCUGAGAAACCAAAGACAACUUCUUUUUAUUGCUUGUGGUCAAACAGCAAGUUCAUUUCGCCAUGGGAUGAUCAAACGGCCAGCCUCCCCCAGCUUGGGAAGGUUUGCCUUUCACUUUCAACUUGUUCAAUCAUCAUUAACUCUGAAAAUUGUCACAUUCCAUUUGUGCAAUGAAAAUUUCAUCACUGGUGACCGUUUGGGUGAAGUUUUUGUAGGCGAGGCCCUAAAUCUUGUAGAGCACCUCACACAUUCUCAAGGUCAUUUGCCUUGUUUCCUUGUUUAAUGACAGUUGCCUAAGAUCCAGGAAUGAGUCUGUGACCUGACCUCAGCAACUCUGAAGACCCCUGUGUAUGUGGGUACAUGUUACCCUCUCUGAGACUGAGAGAGAUCACUGGGUGAUUUGCCACAUGGAUUUCGUCUGAGAAAAAUUAGGAUUCAUUUAUUUUAAUUGUGGU